This 1676-nucleotide ribosomal RNA is filed under the name Thermococcus litoralis. RNAcentral's name for it is "bacterial LSU rRNA". It matches the Rfam family "Bacterial large subunit ribosomal RNA", at positions 1271 to 2825 of the family's 2925-position model. Lineage: Archaea; Methanobacteriati; Methanobacteriota; Thermococci; Thermococcales; Thermococcaceae. The record is from RNAcentral.
UGGUGGAGGGUAUGCGAGUGAGAAUGCAGGCAUGAGUAGCGAAUCACGGGUGAGAAACCCGUGCGCCGGAUGAUCAAGGGUUCCAGGGUCAAGCUAAUCUGCCCUGGGUUAGUCGGGGCCUAAGGCGAGGCCGACAGGCGUAGUCGAUGGAUAACGGGUUGAUAUUCCCGUACCGACGAAGAACCGUCCAUACCAAGACUUUGAUGCUAACCAUGCGAAGCGGUUUGUAACCUCUUGUUUUUCAAGGGGAGCUUACCGUGGGUUGUGGGAUCCGAUUUGUGGCGGUAAGCGUAUUAACAGGUGUGACGCAGGAAGGUAGCCAAGCCACGCGAUGGUUGUCGUGGUCUAAGCAUGUAGGGUAUCGGUUUGUUAAAUGCGGCCGUGUUUGCCUGAGAUGUGAUGGGACCCCGUUUGUGGGGGAUUUGGUGAUCCUAUGCUGUCGAGAAAAGCAUCGGCGUGAGGUUCUAGUUGCCCGUACCCUAAACCGACACAGGUGAUCAGGUAGAGAAUACUAAGGCGAUCGAGAGAAUCAUGGUUAAGGAACUCGGCAAAAUGCCCCCGUAACUUCGGGAGAAGGGGGACCUUGAGCGUGAAGGGCACUUGCUGCUUGGAGCGUGUAUGGGUCGCAGAGACCAGGGGGAAGCGACUGUUUAUCAAAAACACAGGUCCGUGCGAAGUCGUAAGACGAUGUAUACGGACUGACUCCUGCCCGGUGCUGGAAGGUUAAGAGGAUUGGUUAGCAUUUAUGUGCGAAGCUGAGAAUUUAAGCCCCAGUAAACGGCGGUGGUAACUAUAACCAUCCUAAGGUAGCGAAAUUCCUUGUCGGGUAAGUUCCGACCUGCACGAAUGGAGUAACGACUUCCCUACUGUCUCAACCAUGAACUCGGCGAAAUUGCAGUACGAGUAAAGAUGCUCGUUACGCGCAGCAGGACGGAAAGACCCCGUGACCUUUACUAUAGUUUGGUAUUGGCGUUCGGUGUGGCUUGUGUAGGAUAGGUGGGAGAUGUUGAAGCGGGCACGCUAGUGUUCGUGGAGUCGUUGUUGAAAUACCACUCUGGUCAUUCUGGAUGUCUAACUUCGGGCCAUGAUCUGGUUCAGGGACAGUGCCUGAUGGGUAGUUUAACUGGGGCGGUUGCCUCCUAAAGAGUAACGGAGGCGCCCAAAGGUUCCCUCAGCCUGGUUGGCAAUCAGGUGUUGAGUGUAAGUGCACAAGGGAGCUUGACUGUGAGACUGGCAGGUCGAGCAGGGACGAAAGUCGGGACUAGUGAUCCGGCGGUACAUUGUGGAAUGGCCGUCGCUCAACGGAUAAAAGGUACCUCGGGGAUAACAGGCUGAUCUUGCCCAAGAGUCCAUAUCGACGGCAUGGUUUGGCACCUCGAUGUCGGCUCGUCGCAUCCUGGGGCUGGAGUUGGUCCCAAGGGUUGGGCUGUUCGCCCAUUAAAGCGGUACGCGAGCUGGGUUCAGAACGUCGUGAGACAGUUCGGUCCCUAUCCGCUGCGUGCGUUGGAAAUUUGAGAAAGGCUGUCCUUAGUACGAGAGGACCGGGACGGACGAACCUCUGGUAUGUCAGUUGUACCGCCAGGUGCAUGGCUGAUUGGCUACGUUCGGGAGGGAUAACCGCUGAAAGCAUCUAAGCGGGAAGCCUGUUUCGAGAUGAGAUUUCCUGGCAGUGUUGU